UUCAAGCAUUCCGUAAACAUAAAAUUCAAGGACCUUGCAAAUUCUUCUGAGAAAUUAUUGAAGAUCUUUUAUGUCAUGGGUUUUGAUAACAUCUUCAUUUGUAGCAAGCAUGAAGAAACAUUGCCGAGGUUUAUGACACACAAGUAUUGGUGUUCUCGCAUAACUGAAUGAAACUACAGAUUGCUUGGAUCACCAGAAACACCCCACCCAUCUGACUUCUAGUGUUAAAGCUUAAUUAUUGUGUGUUAUAAAAAGAUUGACAUGCAGUCACUGCUGUCAUUUAUGCUGGAUAAUUUGCAAUGUAGUAUAAGAAUAGUUAUUAAUUAAAUGGUACACUGGUCGAUUAGGGAUAACUGUGACCACCUGUGGUGUAGUUAAACUUGUUCAUUAUGAUUAUGAAUAAACAUUAGUAGCUUAAACAAAUACUAAUCAUAUAGAAGAAGGUUUCCUACAUGCUAUGAGAUGGUUCUCGGAAGGUAUUCGGGUUUAAUUUAGGAUUGAUAGUGGCAUAGUGCUUCUUAAACUUGGGAUGUUGCUUUGUUACAUAAGGGUGGUAUCCAAAUACUGUGGCACCAUGCUAGAGUUGAACCUGGAGUAAGUUCUACAAGCACACACAAGCGAUUGGAGUCGGACAAGUACUCUUGGCACACACAAACUAUAGAAAGGGCAUCCUUGUCGCUUUUGGAUGCUACUCAAGAACUUUAUUCAUAAUAUAUAUAUAUAUAUAUAUAUAUAUAUAUA
Molecule: long non-coding RNA, 741 nt
Filed under: Amborella trichopoda
Lineage: Eukaryota; Viridiplantae; Streptophyta; Magnoliopsida; Amborellales; Amborellaceae
Description: long non-coding RNA (ATRI_LNC000885)
Source: RNAcentral